RNAcentral lists this long non-coding RNA (793 nucleotides) under Homo sapiens (human). Its description in RNAcentral is "HSALNT0293526". Lineage: Eukaryota; Metazoa; Chordata; Mammalia; Primates; Hominidae. The record is from RNAcentral.
AUAUCAGUGACUGAAGAUCAAAUGAAUGAAAUGAACAAUCCUCCCCUCAUCCAUGGUUUCAUUUUCUAUGGUUCCAGUUACUCAUGGUCAACCAUGGUCAGAAAACAGGUGCUAGUUCUGUGAUAGCAGGCGAGUUCUCGUGAGAUCUCAUCAUUGAAAAGUGUGUGGCACCUCCCCCAACCUUGGUCCUGCUCCUGUAACAUGUAAGACACCUGCUCCUGCUUUGCCUUCUGCCAGGAGUAAAAGCUCCCCUAGGCCUCCUACAAGGCAGAUGCUGCCAUGCUUCUUGCACAACCUGUGGAACCAUAAGCCAAUUAAACCUCUUUUCUUCACCCAGUCUCAGGUAUUUCUUUAUAGCAAUGUGAGAACAGACUAAUACAGUAUAUAUAAAGUUUGGUACUGUCCUCAGUUUUGGGCAUCCACUGGGGGUCUUAAAAUGUAUCCCUUGAGGAUAAGGGUAAACUAUUGUGUAGUAAAAAUAUGGUCUUCAUAAUUUCUGCUGUUGGGAAUUUAUUAAGUAUCUUUCUCUACUCCAUUAUUAAUUUUCUAUAUCUUCUUUAUUGUGUCUAUUUUACCUAUUAUAGAUUAAUACUGUAAAUUCUCCUACAGAGAGUGUGUUUCUGCCCAUUUUUCCUUAUAUAUCUAGUAUUUUUAUUCUAUAUACUUUUGCAACCUCUAAAUAUUUUUUUCUUCAUAUUUGUAUGAUAAAUUGUGCCAAUUUCAUUGUUUCUAUUGUUCUUUGUUAUUUUGUUUCAGUACUUUCUCCUGGAGAUAAAGAACUUGAUACUUUCCC